CUCUUUACAUCUUUUUCAGGCCCUAAGUUAAUGGAUUUCACUUACCAUGCUAACAUAGAUCAUAAGUGUAAGAAAGAUAUUUUAAUCGGUAGGAUAAAGAAUGUUGAAGAUAAAUCAUGGAAAAAAAUACGUCCAAGACCAACAAAAACAAAUUAUGAAGGACCAUAUUAUAUAUGUAAAGAUGUUGCUGCUGAGGAGGAAUGUAGAUAUUCAGGCCACUGCACGUUUGCUUAUUGCCAAGAGGAGAUAGAUGUGUGGACACUGGAGCGGAAAGGAGCAUUCAGCCGGGAGGCUUUCUUUGGCGGCAAUGGAAAGAUUAACCUUACUGUGUUCAAACUUCUCCAGGAGCAUCUUGGGGAAUUUAUAUUCCUUUGUGAGAAAUGUUUUGAUCAUAAGCCUAGAAUGAUAAGUAAAAGAAAUAAAGAUAAUUCUACUGCUUGUUCUCACCCGGUUACAAAGCAUGAGUUUGAAGACAAUAAGUGCCUUGUCCACAUUUUGCGAGAGACAACAGUAAAAUACUCCAAAAUACGUUCUUUUCAUGGUCAGUGUCAGCUUGAUUUAUGUCGACAUGAAGUUCGGUAUGGCUGUUUAAGGGAAGAUGAGUGCUUUUAUGCCCAUAGUCUUGUGGAACUGAAAGUCUGGAUAAUGCAAAAUGAAACAGGUAUCUCACAUGAUGCUAUUGCUCAAGAGUCUAAACGAUAUUGGCAGAAUUUGGAAGCAAAUGUACCUGGAGCGCAGGUACUUGGUAAUCAAAUAAUGCCUGGAUUUCUUAAUAUGAAGAUAAAGUUUGUGUGCGCCCAGUGUCUGAGAAACGGUCAAGUCAUUGAACCAGACAAAAACAGAAAAUAUUGUAGUGCAAAAGCAAGGCAUUCGUGGACCAAAGACCGGCGUGCGAUGAGAGUGAUGUCUAUUGAACGUAAGAAGUGGAUGAACAUCCGUCCUC
RNAcentral lists this long non-coding RNA (943 nucleotides) under Homo sapiens (human). RNAcentral's name for it is "long non-coding RNA NONHSAT173604.1". The record is from RNAcentral. Lineage: Eukaryota; Metazoa; Chordata; Mammalia; Primates; Hominidae.